This 310-nucleotide long non-coding RNA is filed under the name Cricetulus griseus (Chinese hamster). Its description in RNAcentral is "lncRNA (ENSCGRG00015041704.1)". The record is from RNAcentral. Lineage: Eukaryota; Metazoa; Chordata; Mammalia; Rodentia; Cricetidae.
CAAAAGCAAGCUAAAGGUUUCUGGCUGGCAACAAGGAAGGGGAACAGGAAGCAAAAGCAUAAAGCAAGGACCAUAAUCGAGAACAUCCUCAGUUUGGGCAAGACAGCAAACCAAGAUAGAAAAAAAUGACUUACCAGACACCCCGUCAUACCAGCAAUUCAGUCUGUUGGCGUCCCCUGAUCAUUUUCUUCCAACAAGUUGCAAAAGUCAGAUGUUGUUAAAAAUCACUUCUACAAAAAGCCAGUUUAUGCACUAGAGAUAAAUACUGGUUCCACUGGCAGCAGCUCCAUAGACUGCUCCAGCCUCCCAC